This 408-nucleotide transfer-messenger RNA is filed under the name Candidatus Kerfeldbacteria bacterium CG08_land_8_20_14_0_20_43_14. It matches the Rfam family "transfer-messenger RNA". Rfam says of the family: Bacterial tmRNA, also known as 10Sa RNA or SsrA, is named for its dual tRNA and mRNA-like properties. Its role is to liberate the mRNA from a stalled ribosome. Lineage: Bacteria; Candidatus Kerfeldiibacteriota. The record is from RNAcentral.
GGGGAUGUCCAAUAGUUGAUAGUUAGCUUUGACAAUUAGCAAGCAGAUCGCCCGCUUCAGCAAUGGCGCAAAACUUGUUGAAAAUUAGACAAAUGCCAAUUCAUUUGUCAGCAAAGUGAAGGCCACACUGGCGAAAGCCUUUGCAGUCCCAGCUUUUGCUCCGGUUGUUGCCUAAAAACCAAUAACCCAUUCGCCCCGCCGCCUGAUUAGCGGGAUUAGCGAGUGUCAUAUUUCAGGCUGGAUAUUUUUUACCGCGUGAUAAAAAAUAUCAAGAACUUUUCGCGCUAGGCAAUUAUCGAGCUUGAUUGUUCCGUGCGAUAAUUUCCGAAAAAUUCUGAACCAUCUAAAUCUGUAGAAUGCUAAUUGACGGCCAACUAGACAGGGGUGCAAGACCCCUCAUCUCCACCA